GACGAACUGUUCUAACGUUAUUCGGAAUCACUGGGCUUAAAGGGCGCGUAGGCUGUUUGUUAAGCGGGGUCUGAAAUCCCUCGGCUCAACCGAGGAACUGGGCUUCGAACUGGCAGACUAGAGUGAAGUAGGGGUAAGCGGAACUUGCGGUGGAGCGGUGAAAUGCUUUGAUAUCGCAAGGAACACCGGCGGCGAAGGCGGCUUACUGGGCUUCAACUGACGCUUAAGCGCGAAAGCUAGGGUAGCGAACGGGAUUAGAUACCUCGGUAGUCCCUGAGCGGGCU
Molecule: ribosomal RNA, 284 nt
Filed under: uncultured prokaryote
Description: partial 16S ribosomal RNA
Rfam family: Bacterial small subunit ribosomal RNA
Source: RNAcentral